GAGAGCCCGUUGCGUUGAGAGGCGCACGGCGGGUUCGGCGAGCGGCCUGGAGAAACGGGCUGGUGGCAACACCAGCACCGCGCUCCAGGCCGACUCAAC
This 99-nucleotide non-coding RNA is filed under the name Micromonospora olivasterospora. The record is from RNAcentral. Lineage: Bacteria; Bacillati; Actinomycetota; Actinomycetes; Micromonosporales; Micromonosporaceae.